UACGUAGGCAGCAAGCGUUGUUCGGAAUUACUGGGCGUAAAGGGUGCGUAGGCGGUGCUCUAAGUUUGGUGUGAAAUCUCCCGGCUUAACUGGGAGGGUGCGCCGAAAACUGGAGCGCUGGAGUGCGGGAGAGGAAAGCGGAAUUCCUGGUGUAGCGGUGAAAUGCGUAGAGAUCAGGAGGAACACCUGCGGUGUAGACGGCUUUCUGGACCGUAACUGACGCUGAGGCACGAAAGCGUGGGUAGCAAACAGG
Molecule: ribosomal RNA, 253 nt
Filed under: uncultured bacterium
Lineage: Bacteria
Description: partial 16S ribosomal RNA
Rfam family: Bacterial small subunit ribosomal RNA
Source: RNAcentral